Molecule: transfer RNA, 73 nt
Filed under: Richelia sp. RM2_1_2
Lineage: Bacteria; Bacillati; Cyanobacteriota; Cyanophyceae; Nostocales; Nostocaceae
Description: tRNA-Ala
Rfam family: tRNA
About the family: Transfer RNA (tRNA) molecules are approximately 80 nucleotides in length.
Source: RNAcentral
GGGGGAUUAGCUCAUCCGGGAGAGCGCCUGCUUUGCACGCAGGAGGUGAAGAGUUCGAGUCUCUUAUCCUCCA